UGUACUAAAAGUGCAAACACAAAGGGAAC
RNAcentral lists this non-coding RNA (29 nucleotides) under Homo sapiens (human). Lineage: Eukaryota; Metazoa; Chordata; Mammalia; Primates; Hominidae. The record is from RNAcentral.